AUAAGUUAUUCAGCAAUAACUAGUAGGCUGCUUGAUGGCUAAGCCCUUGUUUGGUUGGGGGUUAAGGGGUGGAAUAACCCCUUAACUCCCAUUUUAUUCCCAAACAUUCCAAAAAAUCAGUGGGGUUAGCUAAUCCCACCUAACCCCACCUCAAAUAAAUUAUUCCGGGUUAGCUAACCCCAUCUAACCCCACCAAACUCCAACCAAACACUAUUUUCUAUUCAUAAUAACCCACUAUCUUUCUUAUCACACCUACUCCAACCAAUCAUUAUCCUUCUUUAUCAAUCAUUAUCUUUUUAUCCCACCUACUCCAACCAAACACUAUUUUUCAUUAUUCUAGACUAACUCUAACCUCCGACCAAACACAAAAAAACUUUAACCCCACUUUAACCCUGAACUUAACCCUAUCCCUGAAAUAGCUACUUUUUCCUUAACCCCGAACCAAACGGAGGCUAAGGGUUUGGUGGUUGGUAUUGGAGAUCUCAAGUUCGAAUUCUAGCUGAUUCAUAUUUCCAACUAAGUUUAUUUCUAAAAAAAAUAAUCGAAGGGGUAGCAUACUAUCUUUCUCUCUAAAAAAAUAAAAUAAAAAUAGUAGGCUGCUUUUAAUUGUAUAUUGUAAAGCCAUAAUAAUGAUGAAUUUUUUUAGAAUAUUAUAUUUUAUCUGCUAAAUAAUUUAUAGACAUGUAAUUAGGCUCCCUCUCAAUCAAUUAUUUUAAGAUCUUUUAGUAAACAGGAGGAGGGAAAAAAGUAUCAAAGGGAUCUAAAUGAUUACAUGCANUAAUUAC
This 785-nucleotide long non-coding RNA is filed under the name Ananas comosus (pineapple). RNAcentral describes it as "long non-coding RNA (ACOM_LNC006081)". The record is from RNAcentral. Lineage: Eukaryota; Viridiplantae; Streptophyta; Magnoliopsida; Poales; Bromeliaceae.